Molecule: transfer RNA, 64 nt
Filed under: Monodelphis domestica (gray short-tailed opossum)
Lineage: Eukaryota; Metazoa; Chordata; Mammalia; Didelphimorphia; Didelphidae
Rfam family: tRNA
About the family: Transfer RNA (tRNA) molecules are approximately 80 nucleotides in length. Their secondary structure includes four short double-helical elements and three loops (D, anti-codon, and T loops).
Source: Rfam by way of RNAcentral
CUUUAGCAUAGUAGGCAGUGCAUCAGUCUUGUAAACUGAGGGUCUUGAGUUCAAUUCUAGAAAG